AUAGAGGUGGGAAUCCUCUAGGCCGAAUAUCUAAGGUUUCCAGGGUAAAGCUGAUCUGCCCUGGGUAAGUCGGGGCCUAAGGCGAGGACGAGAGUCGUAGCCGAUGGACAACAGGUUGAGAUUCCUGUACUGCGGUAUGACAGAACUGUGGGGACACGUAAGGAAAGCGGAAGCCGGGAAUGGAAAGCCCGGUGCAAGCGGGGUACCAGUCACAUUGGCAAAUCCGGGUGGCAAUGGGAAGCCGUGAUGCGGAGCGAAAUAAAGUAGCGAAGUCCGUGAGCCAUGCGUCAAGAAAAGCCGCUAUUGU
Molecule: ribosomal RNA, 307 nt
Filed under: Escherichia coli
Lineage: Bacteria; Pseudomonadati; Pseudomonadota; Gammaproteobacteria; Enterobacterales; Enterobacteriaceae
Description: partial 23S ribosomal RNA
Rfam family: Bacterial large subunit ribosomal RNA
Source: RNAcentral